ACACCGAUACUUGCAUUUGCAAUCCUUACUGAAUUAGGGGCACUUUUCAGCAUCAGUCAGUAGAGCAUUGCGAUCUUAUUUUCCUGACUGUCUGAGCAGGGUGGUGGCGUGUCUGCCUUCGCAGUUUUGCCGGGUUUGCAUUGCAAUCACAUCGCUGGUGGCAGUUAGCAUACUGGACGGACUCGCCCUGUGCUGGGCGGACCCCAUGUAAUCUGUGGAUUCUACAUGGACAAGUGGACAUGAAUCGCAGCGUUGGAGGUAGAUCCUAUUUUGAUUUCCGAUGGCCUUCACAGAUGGAGAAGUGGGCUUGUGCUAGUCGGAGGCAAUAUGGCAAGUAGUUGCCGAAGCAACAUGCCGAAUCUACUUGUUCUGCCAUUAGUUGCAGGUGGGUAGUUCAGCUUCAGAAGGACGUACCGAGAAGAUAGGGGAAACUAAACUGAAGGAGAGAGGGUAAUAACUGGCAAAUGCUCCUCCGGAAGGUGAGCAGUUAAGGGCAGUCCCACCAUCUGUGAUAGAAAGAACCCAAAGCUGAACAGCCCCGUGACAGCUAUCAGAGCAUAUUUACCGACAUUCUGGCUGCUCUCUGCGGGAGAGAGCAGCCAGGUCGGUCAACAGGCGGGCUGGGAGCACUCUCACGAAUGGAGGGGGUGGAC
Pseudophryne corroboree (corroboree frog) is the source of this 653-nucleotide long non-coding RNA. RefSeq lists it as uncharacterized. NCBI's taxonomy places the organism in Eukaryota, Metazoa, Chordata, Amphibia, Anura, Myobatrachidae. The record is from RefSeq and is a predicted model, not a curated record. The transcript has 3 exons.